Molecule: ribosomal RNA, 866 nt
Filed under: uncultured bacterium
Lineage: Bacteria
Description: bacterial SSU rRNA
Rfam family: Bacterial small subunit ribosomal RNA
Source: RNAcentral
GUAGCAAUAUUGUCUCAGUGGCGAACGGGUGAGUAACGCGUUGGUGACCUGCCCCGAAGAGGGGGAUAACAGUCCGAAAGGAUUGCUAAUACCCCAUGUGGUCAAGAGGAUUAGAUGCCUUAUGACUAAACGGAGAAAUUCGCUUCGGGAGGGGCCUGCGUCCCAUCAGCUAGUUGGUAGGGUAAUAGCCUACCAAGGCGAUGACGGGUAGGGGACCUGAGAGGGUGGCCCCCCACAAUGGAACUGAAACACGGUCCAUACACCUACGGGUGGCAGCAGUAGGGAAUAUUGGUAAUCUGGGAAACCGGGAACCAGCAACGCCGCGUGCGCGAUGAAGGCCUUCGGGUUGUAAAGCGCUUUUUGAGAGGAUGAGGAAGGACAGUACUCUUAGAAUAAGCCUCGGCUAACUACGUGCCAGCAGCCGCGGUAAAACGUAGGAGGCGAGCGUUAUCCGGAUUUACUGGGCGUAAAGCGCGUGUAGGCGGUUUGAUAAGUUGGAUGUGAAAGCUCCUGGCUUAACUGGGAGAGGUCGUUCAAAACUAUCAGACUUGAGAGUGGUAGAGGGAGGUGGAAUUCCGCAUGUAGUGGUGAAAUGCGUAGAUAUGCGGAGGAACACCAGUGGCGAAAGCGGCCUCCUGGCCCAUUUCUGACGCUCAGACACGAAAGCUAAGGUAGCAAACGGGAUUAGAGACCCCGGUAGUCUUAGCUGUAAACGAUGUGAACUUAGUGUCGGUGGGGUUAAAUCCAUCGGUACUGAAGCUAACGCGAUAAGUUCACCGCCUGAGGACUACGGCCGCAAGGUUAAAACUCAAAGGAAUUGACGGGGCCCCGCACAAGCAGCGGAGCGGUGUGGUUUAAUUCGAUGU